AUGAGCAGCGCCCGCUCGCCGUCGGCGGCGCCGGAGCUGCUGGACGACGACGACCUGCUGCCGGAGAUCCUCCUCCGUCUCCCCCCGCAGCCGUCCUCCCUCCCCCGCGCAUCCCUCGUCUCCAAGCGCUGGCGCAGCGUCGCCUCCGACCCGGCCUUCUCGCGCCGCUUCCGCCGCCACCACCGCCUCAACCCUCCCCUCCUCGGUUUCUUCCGCGUGGAGCUGAGGGUCCGCUUCGAGCCCCGCUUCGAGCCUUCCCUCGACGCCCCAAAUCGGAUCCCACCCGAACGCCUUUCCUGGCGAUGGAACAAGGGUGACGACUGCUACUCCUCAACAGAGCGCACACGCAGGUCCUGGUCUGGGACCCUGUCACCGGCGACCGGCGCCGCGUCGCCGUUCCACCGGGGCUCAAAACUGUUGGAGCCCCGAUCAGCGGGACGGUGCUUCGCGGUGCCGGAGACGACGACCACUUCCAGGUGGUCUUGAUUGGCUUCUAGUGGCUCGUCGCAGGGUGCGGGACCGGCGGUGCCCACGGAAGACCUAGGGGUGGAUGACUUGAUCGCGAUCACUGCACUCCUGGAGGAGUCGACCCUUCCCCCUGGUGCCUCGGCCGCGUUGCUCCAUGCCUCUCCCGAGCCCUCCGGCCCCAUCGGCGAUGUGGGUGGUUGUUUGGGGGCCGAGAGUGACACCAGCAACGUCGGCCUUGACGUAUGCCCCCCGUCCUCGCCAGAGCUAGCGUCGCCCGUGGCCGCGACGGUCUCCCUGCCUACCUCGCCAGUCCCUCCUUCGGCAGCUCUGUUGUCGGCGCCGCCGAGUCGUCCUCCACGCAGCAAGGGGCAUCCGCGCUCAUCUUCGCCGCCUGCCACGCUCACGCGUAAGAGCGCUCGCCUGGGCGUGGCGGUGGCGACGGUUGGUGGCUCGCCCAACGUGGUGGAGAAGGCUCUGCGGCGUGCUGCGGCACGCAAGCUCGACCCAGGUCCGUCUCAUUCGCCGUCUUUAUUUCCUGCUUUGACUGAUGAUGAUGUGUCCGACUUCUCUGUCCUGGCGGGUGUGCCUCUCGGCCACUUAGCCAAAAUUGCGGUGGACUCUGCCAUUGUUUCUCGAGGGGAGAAAGGCCCUGCCCUAGAGUUGAUUGCGGUCAUCCAGGCCAAGGAGGUACUGGAGGGUUGCCUCGCGAUGGCUAGAGCGAGGGCCACCGAGGAAUCCUUGGAGGUGGCUCCCAACACGCCUUGGCCCCCGGUCUGUGGGUUGCCCGACCCUCUUCCUCCGGACAAGGUCUAG
This 1281-nucleotide ribosomal RNA is filed under the name Triticum aestivum (bread wheat). Its description in RNAcentral is "partial small subunit ribosomal RNA". Lineage: Eukaryota; Viridiplantae; Streptophyta; Magnoliopsida; Poales; Poaceae. The record is from RNAcentral.